RNAcentral lists this long non-coding RNA (571 nucleotides) under Vitis vinifera (wine grape). RNAcentral's name for it is "long non-coding RNA (VVIN_LNC002667)". The record is from RNAcentral. Lineage: Eukaryota; Viridiplantae; Streptophyta; Magnoliopsida; Vitales; Vitaceae.
AUCCCCUUAUAGCUUGAAGAUGGACCUCAUCUGAUCAAUCUGAGAUGUGCACCAAGUAAAUGGAGUAUCUUCUGAUUCAUUACUUCCUUAGGCUUGCUUUUUCAGGUCUGUUUAGUUUAGAGGCAUGAAACACUGGUUUUCCCACAUCCUAUUAUGGAGCUUUUUCUUCAUCCCAGGAAAAAUUUUGGAUAAUGGAGCUUGAGCUUUUUUUUGGACUACUUCCAGGGAAAAAUCCAUACAUAUUCAACUAUGACUCAUCUAGGAAGCUUAUCAUCUUUCUAUGUUAGGACAGAAUGAUCUGAUGCAUUUCUGCCUUGCCCUGAACUGAACAUCUUAACAUGGUGGUAAGAAAGGUGACUUCUGAACCUAUUUCCAGGUUUUGUUUCUGAUCAGAGGUUUUUCUUCUGAUUCAUUACUUCCUUAGGCUUGCUUUUUCAGGUCUGUUUAGUUUAGAGGCAUGAAACACUGGUUUUCCCACAUCCUAUUAUGGAGCUUUUUCUUCAUCCCAGGAAAAAUUUUGGAUAAUGGAGCUUGAGCUUUUUUUUGGACUACUUCCAGGGAAAAAUCCAUA